Molecule: ribosomal RNA, 492 nt
Filed under: uncultured bacterium
Lineage: Bacteria
Description: partial 16S ribosomal RNA
Rfam family: Bacterial small subunit ribosomal RNA
Source: RNAcentral
AGUGAACGCUGGCGGUAGGCCUAAUACAUGCAAGUCGAACGGCAGCACAGUAAGAGUUUGCCCUUACGGGUGGCGGGUGGCGGGCGGGUGAGGAAUAGAUAGGCUUCUUAUUUUUCGGGGGGGACAACGUGGGGAAACUUACGCUACUACCUAAUAUAUUCAACGGGGGGAAGCAGGGGUGCUUGGGGCUUUUGCUGUUUGAUUUAGCUGGAGCCGAAUUAGGUAGUUGGGGGGGUAACGGCCCACCAAGGCGACGAUCCGUAGCUGAUCUGAGAGGAUGAUCAGCCACACUGGAACUGAGACACGGUCCAGACUCCUACGGGAGGCAGCAGUGGGGAAUAUUGGGCAAUGGGCGCAAGCCUGAUCCAGCCAUGCCGCGUGGGUGAAGAAGGCCUUCGGGUUGUAAAGCCCUUUUAUUAGGAAAGAAAAGCAGCAGGUUAAUACCCCGCUGUUCUGACGGUACCCAAAGAAUAAGCACCGGCUAACUUCGUG